AAAUCUCUCUCUCUCUCUCUCUCUCUCUCUCUCUCUCUCUCUCUCUAUAUAUAUAUAUAUAUAUAUAUAUAUAUAUAUAAUAUAGUUGAGCUAGAAUACUAUCGGUAGCAAACGGGCUCCGUUGCCACCCAUUUGUUUUUGAUGAUAGAGCCUCCAAAUUGACGAUCGGCACCGUUGAAAAUGAUCUAUACCAUUUGAAGUAUUUAGAAAUCAAAUUUCAUACUUUUUCGAUAUUGUUUUCUUAUCCAUCAAAUGGGCGUAAAAAUGAAUGGCUGAAAAUGAAUAUCCUCUAAAAAGUGAUGAUAGGAAUUUUGUAAUCAAGAUCGAGAGGAUAGAUCUUGUUCUAAAUAGUUUAAUGAAUUUUCUAACCAAAAUUCAAUUCAUUUGGCUAGCAUUACACUGUUAAACGAGAAAACACCUCAAAUCUACCAUUAAAAUUACAAAUUUUGAAACCCGUUGAUCAUUAGGUCAAUGAUGUCGAAAAUGUUUGAAAUUUGGUUUCUAGAUACUUUAAGUGGUAUAGAUCAUGUUCAACGGCGCCGAUCGUCGAUUUGGAGGCUCCAUUAUCGAAAACAAAUGGGUGGCAACGGAGCCUGUUUGCUACCGAUAGCAUUCUAGCUCAACUAUAUAUAUAUAUAUAUAUAUAUAUAGUUGAGGUAGAAUACUUUCAAAAUUAAGCACCAAAGGGGUGGUGCUUUUGAAUUUUUAACCAUUGGAUGGAGAGAUAUAGGAUUGAGAUUAUGGUGGUAAAUGGUGGUAGGUGGUGGUAGGUGGAAUAGUGUUUGAUCCAAGGGGUACUAGUAAUUAAGUAGUAGAUCCAAAGGCUAUAAACUUAGAAGCAGCAAGGGGUUGGUGCUUCUAAAAAUAUUCUAGCUCAAUUAUAUAUAUAUAUAUAUAUAUAUAUAUAUAUAUAUAUAGAGAGGGAGAGAGAGAGAGAGAGAGAGAGAGAGAGAGGAGAGGUAGGGAGGGUUUGGGGACAUGGUGGUCGUCCCCAAACCCUACUUUAAUGUUAAAAAAAGGGAAAAUUUUAAAAACCCCCCUGUGGUUUCAUUGUUUCUCACUUAGUAUCCUGUGGUUUAAAGUGUAUCAUUUUGCCCCCCUGUGGUUUCGUUUUUAUCUUUUCGGUAGUUUUUUUGUUAAUAUUUUAUUAAUUUAUAUAUAAAAAAUUUCAGAUACCCAUCUAGAUUUAUCAAAUAUUCACUUUAGUACCCUUUAAUUUUAACUUUAUCACUGAUUUAAGAAAAAAAAUAAUAAAAUUGAUAAGAAAAAGAGAAAAAAAAAACCACAGGGGGGGCAAAGUGAGAAACUACGAAACCACAAGAGGGGUUUUUAAAAUUUUCCUAAAAAAUAAAGAAUAGAUCAUAUGCAUCCAAAACUUUUACCAUAAAUCCUAC
RNAcentral lists this long non-coding RNA (1394 nucleotides) under Ananas comosus (pineapple). Its description in RNAcentral is "long non-coding RNA (ACOM_LNC025596)". Lineage: Eukaryota; Viridiplantae; Streptophyta; Magnoliopsida; Poales; Bromeliaceae. The record is from RNAcentral.